This 906-nucleotide ribosomal RNA is filed under the name Triticum aestivum (bread wheat). RNAcentral's name for it is "partial small subunit ribosomal RNA". The record is from RNAcentral. Lineage: Eukaryota; Viridiplantae; Streptophyta; Magnoliopsida; Poales; Poaceae.
AUGGACAAGGGUCUUCACCCGAAAACCCGGCACGGAGAGGAGAACCACAAUGAUGUCCUUAAGAGCAGAGUUGCGCAUGUAGGCAUCGCCCCCAUAGUCGCUAAAGCUUGGAGCUUUCGCUCAACAGCUCACCCGUGCCAGGAAGGCAUCCAUGGCAACCGUGACGAGCACAUACCUCCAGAUACAGAUGUGGGCGCCACCACCAACAAUGACGUGGCUCAGGCGCUGCGGGAGUUCUUGCGGCCCGGAAAAAGGCAUUCAGCUGAGGCGUCCCUCCGUCUCGACGCACGGCUUGCCCUUGCUGCGUCGGUUCGCCGGCAGUGCGCGCACUGGCGGCAGCGAGGGAAACGCCGGGCGGUCCGCGAAGGCGACGAAAAUACCAAGUUCUUCCACGCCUCCGCCUCCACCCGACGACGACGCAACACCAUCGGCACGCUGGAAGUUGGAGGGGUGCAGGUGGUGGACCAUGCUGGCAAGGCCGCCGCCUUGCUGGGCUUCUACUCGGCUCUGCUGGGCCGGCCCAGGCCGCCCACCUGGAGCUUCGAUCUGCCAGCGCUCUACGUCGACGCCCCUGUGGUUGACGGGGCGUCGCUGGUGGCUCCGUUCGACCACGUCGAGAUCAAGGCCACGGUCCACGCCCUGGAUCGCACCAGCGCCCCGGGCUCGGACGGGCUUGGUCCUGCCUUCUACCAGGCGGCGUGGGCGGAGGUGGCGUCGGACAUCCACCGCCUCUUUGCAGAGUUCCAUGCUGGGACUGUCCGCCUCGAUGGGAUCAACAGAGCCUACAUCACCCUCCUGCCCAAGAAACCGGGCGUGCCGACCCCGGCUGAUUUCCGGCCCGUCUCGGUUCAAAACGGCGACGUCAAGAUCCUCUGCAAGGGGCUCACGAUGAGGCUUCAACGGUAA